AUACAUCUAGAACAAGCGUCACAUAAGCAGAUGUACGUGCAGGACUGGGACUCUCCCCCCGGGUUUUCCACAGAUCCUUGGCCUCCAGGGCCACCCAAAGAGGGUAGGCAUUGGGGCUCCCCUACGGAAGCGCAUCUCAGACCUGCACGUGCCCGGGCAUCACGCGGGGAGCUCGUUAGACCGCAGAGGUAGAUACGGUGAGCCUGGGGCCUGAGAUUCUGCAUUUCUAACAAAGUUGCGGGUGAUGCCAAGGCUACGGGCCCACUGACCAGCCUCUGGGAAGCAAGGGUCUAGCGCAGGCCUGAUGACCCUGUGUUGUGAAAAGUCCGUCCUGUGUGUCGUAGCACGUGUAGCAGCAUCCCUGGGCUCUCCCUCUAGAUGCCAGGAGCAUCCCCGCACAGUGUGUCAACCAAAAAAUGUCCGCACAUACUGUCAAGCGUCCCUGGAGGGGACGAUGGUGGGUGACUGAGACCCACUGGUCUAGUCCAAACUUAACUGCCACCCCAAAGACAGCAUGGCUAAUGAGAAGAAAAGAAUGUGACCACCCCUCCAGACUUAUCCUCACCACUCCUUCCCCUCUGCCGCUUAAGCCUUCCAGGGGGCCAUGAGCCAACAUACGCGGAUACAAAUGCAAAUUAGACAGGCCAGUUCCCUCCUGAGGAUCCCCUGUGCCGUCAGAAUAAAAACCCAGACUCCUCAACCUGCCCAGGGGAUAUACCUGAGUAUCUCUCGUCUCUCAAGACUGUGGUGCCACCACACUCCCAGCCCAGGAAGCAGGAUCAAUGUGAAAACAUACAUGCUGAAUGAACGAACGAACGAACGAUGAAGUGAAUCAUCUCUGAAUCAUUCCCCCAGUGACAGAGUCAAGGAAACAGGCACAGAGGAAGCAAUGGACGCCCAGCCCGAUGAGAACUCGUUACGCAGUUUUUGGCUGUAUGUUCCUCCUCUCAGAAUCAGGCCUCAGAGCAGAAGAGCUACAAGACAUUUAUUCCAGUUCCAAAGGUGAAGAGCAGACUACUCACGGCUGGUCAGAUCAAAUUGUCGGUACGUUUUCCCCUAUCUUGGAUUGAAACUGCCUCCCGGAAUAUCCACUGUUCAUCCAAGUUCAGCUUCUUAAAAAUCUACUCCUUUUUCUCCUCCCAAGCCUUCAAACCCAUGAAGGGUUGUUGCUCCUAAAUAUUUCUCUUGGGAGCGUAUUAGAACAAAGUGGCUAUUAUGGGGUAUCUGGGCAUUAUUAGUAACUGCUGAGUAUGGAAGGAAGAAAAGUCCAUCUGCUUAGAAGAACUAAACAAUCAGAAGUGGACAUGGCCUGGAUUGGCCCAGCGUCCCUCUUCUGGCUGCUGCCCUCCCCCCCUCAUUCAUGUGGCUCAGGGGCAGCGGCCACGUAUGUAUGUUAUGCUCCAGCACCCCCUACACCCCAGCCCAAGAUAAGCACGCUGUCCAAGCUAAACCAAGGAGUCCCUUCUCCAGAACACUUGGGUAUAGGGCCGAGAGAUUCUACCUGGCUGCUCUCCCGAAGAGCAAGACUACAUUCCCCCAUGUGGGUAGGAGAAGAAGAGGGGGAAGGAAGUCUACAGAGUGAGGUUAGAGCGGAUAUCCAGGAGAAGCAAAGAAAGAAGAAGAGCUGGGGCUUCUUGGGCUCCUUACGACACUCCUGUCCCUGGUGUCAGCCAUUCUUGGGUUCCCAGCAGCAUAUUCUAAUAUUCCCCCCCAUGCCUGAGCAAACUUGAGUGGAUUCUGUUAGUUGCUCCCCAGAUCCUAACAAAUGUCCCAUCCAACCUGGGUGGGUGUCUCACCCAAGCUUUGAAGCCAGCCUGAGAAGGUGCCAGUGCCUGCCUAAUGCAGCCCAUGGCACUGCAUGGCCCCACCAUGCUCCCGGGGCCCUGCUGGUCUAAGGCACAUCAGGGUGUUGGUUGCCCGGUUCUUACCGGCAGGCACAGGGCUCCUCCGGUGGAGAUCAGUCCAGCCGUAAGGCCCAGCACCAUGGCGAGCCAAGGCGAGCUGAUCAGAUAACACGAGGCACCCACAGCCACACCUCCGGCCAGUACCGCAUUGUGGAUAUGAUUCUGCAAAGAAACAGCUCGUGGGCGAGUGAAGCGAGGCACAGAGAGGACAACAUCUCGCCCAGGGUUGCUUGGUAAGCUGGUAGCAAGCAACACCGUAAUAUCUUCCCUGCUUCACACCCCCUCCUCUCCAUUGAGAGUCCAUGGCCUUCAUCAAUUGUCUUCAUCUGACUCCACUUCUCAGGCUCAGGGGGCCGGCAACCUGACUGGGAGGCAUUGAACUUCAAAGCGCAUCCCAGUCACCCUCGCGCUUGUUAGUGAUGUGUCUUUGGCCACCUAAGCAUUCGUGCUUCAGCUUUUCCGCUGGAAGAUUGGAGUUUUAGCAGCACCUACUUAAUGCGGUUACGGUAAGAUUAAAUGAGUUACCGCAUGUACAACUCUGAGCCCAGGGCCUAGCUAGCAGGGACCGUGAGUAAAGGCUCAAGAAAUAUAACCCAUCAUUAUUGCUUUUA
Long non-coding RNA from Felis catus (domestic cat), 2515 nucleotides. RefSeq lists it as uncharacterized. The transcript is spliced from 2 exons. The record is from RefSeq and is a predicted model, not a curated record. NCBI's taxonomy places the organism in Eukaryota, Metazoa, Chordata, Mammalia, Carnivora, Felidae.